CAGCCGCCACGGUAAAACGUAGGUGGCAAGCGUUGUCCGGAAUUAUUGGGCGUAAAGGGCUCGCAGGCGGUUUCUUAAGUCUGAUGUGAAAGCCCCCGGCUCAACCGGGGAGGGUCAUUGGAAACUGGGAAACUUGGGUGCAGAAGAGGAGAGUGGAAUUCCACGUGUAGCGGUGAAAUGCGUAGAGAUGUGGAGGAACACCAGUGGCGAAGGCGACUCUCUGGUCUGUAACUGACGCUGAGGAGCGAAAGCGUGGGGAGCGAACAGGAUUAGAUACCCGCGUAGUCCCUGUCUCUUAUAA
This 301-nucleotide ribosomal RNA is filed under the name uncultured bacterium. Its description in RNAcentral is "partial 16S ribosomal RNA". It matches the Rfam family "Bacterial small subunit ribosomal RNA", at positions 509 to 809 of the family's 1533-position model. The record is from RNAcentral.